AAGAGGGGUGCCUUAAUAAAACGGGCUGAGAUCAUACCCAUUAACCUGAUCCGGAUAAUGCCGGCGGAGGGAUAAA
This 76-nucleotide non-coding RNA is filed under the name Bacteroides graminisolvens. The record is from RNAcentral. Lineage: Bacteria; Pseudomonadati; Bacteroidota; Bacteroidia; Bacteroidales; Bacteroidaceae.